UUACGGCCAUAUCAUGUUGAAACACCGGUUCUUGUACGAUCACCGGAGUUAAGCAACGUCAAAUCUGGUCAGUACCUAGAUGUGUGACCACUUGGGUAUACCAGAUGUCAU
Acanthosepion pharaonis is the source of this 111-nucleotide non-coding RNA. NCBI's taxonomy places the organism in Eukaryota, Metazoa, Mollusca, Cephalopoda, Sepiida, Sepiidae. The record is from the annotation of a GenBank genome assembly.